CUCUCUGUAGCUCAGUUGGUUUGAGCACUGCACCGGAAUCGCAGGGUCACAGGUUCGAUUCCUGCAAGAGGGC
RNAcentral lists this transfer RNA (73 nucleotides) under Paramuricea clavata. It matches the Rfam family "tRNA". Rfam says of the family: Transfer RNA (tRNA) molecules are approximately 80 nucleotides in length. Their secondary structure includes four short double-helical elements and three loops (D, anti-codon, and T loops). Lineage: Eukaryota; Metazoa; Cnidaria; Anthozoa; Malacalcyonacea; Plexauridae. The record is from Rfam by way of RNAcentral.